CAAGGUCUCCGUUGGUGAACCAGCGGAGGGAUCAUUAUAGAGUUUUCUAAACUCCCAACCCUAUGUGAACUUACCAUUGUUGCCUCGGCGGGGCCUACCCGGUACCGACCCCUUUUGGGCGAGGUUACCCUGUAGCCCGCCGGUGGACUACUUAACUCUUGUUAUUUUAACGAUAUCUGAGCGUCUUAUUUUAAUAAGUCAAAACUUUCAACAACGGAUCUCUUGGUUCUGGCAUCGAUGAAGAACGCAGCGAAAUGCGAUAAGUAAUGUGAAUUGCAGAAUUCAGUGAAUCAUCGAAUCUUUGAACGCACAUUGCGCCCAUUAGUAUUCUAGUGGGCAUGCCUGUUCGAGCGUCAUUUCAACCCUUAAGCCUAGCUUAGUGUUGGGAAUCUACUGUAUUGUAGUUCCCCAAAUUGAACGGCGGAUUCGCAGUAUCCUCUGAGCGUAGUAAAUCUUUAUCUCGCUUUUGUCAGGUGCUGUGGCUCUUGCCGCUAAACCCCCAAUUUUUAAUGGUUGACCUCGGAUCAGGUAGGAAUACCCGCUGAACUUAAGCA
This 554-nucleotide ribosomal RNA is filed under the name Pestalotiopsis mangifolia. RNAcentral describes it as "eukaryotic LSU rRNA". The stretch from base 203 to 356 matches the Rfam family "5.8S ribosomal RNA". Lineage: Eukaryota; Fungi; Ascomycota; Sordariomycetes; Amphisphaeriales; Sporocadaceae. The record is from RNAcentral.